GGCGGAGUUAUGGCACACUCUAAGCGUAGUAAUCUUUACCUCUCGCUUCUGUAGUUGCCUUAACUGCCUGCCGUAAAACCCCCUAUAUUUUCUAAUGGUUGACCUCGGAUUAGGUAGGAAUACCCGCUGAACUUAAGCA
This 139-nucleotide ribosomal RNA is filed under the name Annulohypoxylon michelianum. RNAcentral's name for it is "partial 28S ribosomal RNA". The record is from RNAcentral. Lineage: Eukaryota; Fungi; Ascomycota; Sordariomycetes; Xylariales; Hypoxylaceae.